UCAUAGUUUGAUCUCUUUCUGCCUAGCUCUCAUGUCUGUCUCUGGAUUGUUUCAAAUCCUAAGAGAAAAGGAAUAUCAUUUAUUGCCUCUUGCAAAGUAAAUACUCCUCUAUUUAACUGACGGGAUGAACCAAUGAUGUCAUUUAACAGUUUGUUUGUUGGUGAUCUCUACUGCUGAAAUCUCAUUAACAUACACAUUUACUCCUUUGAUCUUCACGAUAAUCCCAUGGAAUUGGCAAGUAAAAGGCAUUAUUGACAUUUUACAGCUUUUUCAGGAGUUAAGCUGCCUUCGCAAUGAGGAUCAAACCUGCAGCUUACAGCUUAUAGACUCGAUACUGUGAACAAGAUGCCACCCCCAAAUGAUGUAGUCAAUGGUGCUACCAAAAUCUACUGCAAAUAACCUAAUAAUUGUACACAGACAUCUUGACAUAGGCCAGUUCUCAACAACAGUAAAAUUUUGAGCCUGGAGUAUGAGAGCUGUAGAAAGGACAGCAGAAAAGAAGCAUUGAAAAUAAAUAAAAACUGGUCAGGGGAAAUUUGACAGAACAGGUAUUGAAGUCUGUUUCUUGCAUUUAUAAAUUGAGUUCACUUUGGCAUAAGAUACCAGCAGACAUCUAAGAUGCAAGAGCUGGAGUGGAAGUUGAUACCUUCCUUAUACUCAAGAUCUCUUUAUUAAUGAUUUUGUCUUCCCAAAAUAAUUAUAAGAAAAAUGAACAAUCAGGGGCCAUUCUACCUAUUGUAAGCCAAAUACUUGGAUAUGUCAAAGAAUCCAACUGUUUAUCUCCAUCUUGUCCUACCGUGCAAGUGACCAAUACUUAGCUUUACUAUCUCCCCAGCUCAGCCUCACUUCAUAUCAAGAAGUGAGUUUUGAGCGCCUAGUUGUGCUGCAUAUGUAACAGG
This 899-nucleotide long non-coding RNA is filed under the name Homo sapiens (human). RNAcentral's name for it is "HSALNT0293016". Lineage: Eukaryota; Metazoa; Chordata; Mammalia; Primates; Hominidae. The record is from RNAcentral.